AUGCUGAAGACGUGCAUGGCUAUUGGAGAUGAACAAAGCUUGCGGCUUCCCAUGUAUGCUUGGCUCUAUAGAUCCAAAGGCAUGGCAUGGGAAAUUCCAAGACCAAAAAAGGGUUCCACUAUAAUCCUUGAAGCGGUGGCCGAUCAAGAGACUUGGAUUUGGCAUGCUUUCUUUGAAAUGCCUGGAUCUUUGAAUGACAUCAAUGGUGUCCACCGGUCACCACUGAUGAAUAAGAUUACAAAUGGUGAUUUGUCACCGGUGCAGUUUGUAGAAAAUGGUCGUACAUACAACUAUGCCUAUUAUCUUGCGAAUGGCAUCUACCCAAAGUGGCAAACAUUUGUGAAGCCGUUGAAAAAAUCAGAAGGUAAGAAAUAUCUUGAUUUCCACAAUGCUCAAGCGGCGGCUAGAAAAGAUGUGGAGAGAGCUUUUGGGAUUUUCCAAGCCCAAUUUGCUAUUGUGAGAGGACCGGCUAGAUUUUGGGGUCAAAAAAUGCUUUGGUACAUCAUGCACGCUUGUGUGAUCAUGCACAACAUGAUCAUCGAGAAAUGA
Molecule: ribosomal RNA, 549 nt
Filed under: Triticum aestivum (bread wheat)
Lineage: Eukaryota; Viridiplantae; Streptophyta; Magnoliopsida; Poales; Poaceae
Description: partial small subunit ribosomal RNA
Source: RNAcentral